AAGUCGUAACAAGGUUUCCGUAGGUGAACCUGCGGAAGGAUCAUUAACAAAUUGUUAAAACAACAUCCAACCUUUUGUGCAAUUGAUAACCCGUCUCUGGCAGAUUUUGUUUUCUUUUUUGUGUCCUUUGGAUUGCAAAAAGGGGAGCAUGCUGCCGCUUGUAAUAUCAAUGAUACGCCUUUGUGUGUUUCUAAAUUUUUGUUUUGCAUCCUUGAUAAAAUCAUGUGACAUAUUAAUUUGUUACAACUUUUGGCAAUGGAUCUCUUGGUUCUC
This 273-nucleotide unclassified non-coding RNA is filed under the name fungal sp. Its description in RNAcentral is "partial internal transcribed spacer region". The stretch from base 1 to 46 matches the Rfam family "Eukaryotic small subunit ribosomal RNA", at positions 1786 to 1831 of the family's 1831-position model. Lineage: Eukaryota; Fungi. The record is from RNAcentral.